Molecule: unclassified non-coding RNA, 549 nt
Filed under: Hevea brasiliensis (rubber tree)
Lineage: Eukaryota; Viridiplantae; Streptophyta; Magnoliopsida; Malpighiales; Euphorbiaceae
Rfam family: Small nucleolar RNA R12 (bases 318-400)
Source: RNAcentral
GGUUUUUUUCUCUCUGUGUAAUUUGCAUGGCAGCAGAGCCUGACAGCACCGGUGGGAAUGAGAGUAGAUCUCUGGAAAAUUAUCAGCUAUGGUUUGUUAUUGAGAAGCCUAAUAUUGCAAUAAUGAUCAAGUGAUCUAUCGUUAGGCAGCAGUAAUGGUUAUUUUCUCUCUACAUAAAGGUUAGGUUUGUGUUCUCCGCCUUUGCUCCGAUUUUCUUCUCCCCUUUCAAGGAAUUUUCGGCGGCUAAGUUAGAUACAUUCUUUUCUUUUUGGGUUUAAUUUAUUUUAUGUAAGACGGAAUCAAUGGAGAUGAUGAUGAAGAUGGAUGAUGAAUGAAAUCAGACGGAUUCCCAUUGAUAUUUUCUAAACAUGAUAUCAUUUACCAGCUACUCCUGACUCUUCUUCAUCAUCAUCCGCUUCUUUAUUUAUUUUUUUUUAUUUGAAAAGAUUAGUUUACAGACUGUUGAAUUAGGCCAGUGAUGUGAUAGAAUAUUUGCUACUCUUAAUGGAUUCGUUGAAUCUCUCACUGAUGAUUCCUAUCCACCAAGAU